This is a non-coding RNA of Podarcis lilfordi (Lilford's wall lizard), 80 nucleotides long. The record is from the annotation of a GenBank genome assembly. NCBI's taxonomy places the organism in Eukaryota, Metazoa, Chordata, Lepidosauria, Squamata, Lacertidae.
UCUACCAUAGCUCAGCGGUACGAGUAUCUGCCUUGCAUGCACAAGGUCUCCAGUUCAAUUCCUGGUGUUUUCAGGUAGGG